RNAcentral lists this ribosomal RNA (460 nucleotides) under uncultured bacterium. RNAcentral's name for it is "partial 16S ribosomal RNA". It matches the Rfam family "Bacterial small subunit ribosomal RNA", at positions 338 to 795 of the family's 1533-position model. The record is from RNAcentral.
CCUACGGGUGGCAGCAGUGAGGCAUAUUGGUCAAUGGACGAGAGUCUGAACCAGCCAAGUAGCGUGAAGGAUGACUGCCCUAUGGGUUGUAAACUUCUUUUAUAUGGGAAUAAAAUGUUCCACGUGUGGGAUUUUGUAUGUACCAUAUGAAUAAGGAUCGGCUAACUCCGUGCCAGCAGCCUCGGUAAUACGGAGGAUCCGAGCGUUAUCCGGAUUUAUUGGGUUUAAAGGGAGCGUAGGUGGAUUGUUAAGUCAGUUGUGAAAGUUUGCGGCUCAACCGUAAAAUUGCAGUUGAAACUGGCAGUCUUGAGUACAGUAGAGGUGGGCGGAAUUCGUGGUGUAGCGGUGAAAUGCUUAGAUAUCACGAAGAACUCCGAUUGCGAAGGCAGUUCACUGGACUGCAACUGACACUGAGGCUCGAAAGUGUGGGUAUCAAACAGGAUUAGAUACCCCAGUAGUC